RNAcentral lists this unclassified non-coding RNA (342 nucleotides) under soil metagenome. Its description in RNAcentral is "partial contains 5.8S ribosomal RNA, internal transcribed spacer 2, and large subunit ribosomal RNA". The stretch from base 1 to 120 matches the Rfam family "5.8S ribosomal RNA", at positions 35 to 154 of the family's 154-position model. The record is from RNAcentral.
GAUGAAGAACGCAGCGAAAUGCGAUAAGUAAUGUGAAUUGCAGAAUUCAGUGAAUCAUCGAAUCUUUGAACGCACAUUGCGCCCGCCAGUAUUCUGGCGGGCAUGCCUGUUCGAGCGUCAUUUCAACCCUCAGGCCCCGCCUGGCGUUGGGGAUCGGCGCGGCCCUCUCCGGGCUGCCGGCCCCGAAAACUAGUGGCGGUCUCGCUGUAGUCCUCCUCUGCGCAGUAGCAACGCUCGCACUGGAACUCGGCGCGGCCACGCCGUAAAACACCCCACUUCUGAAAGUUGACCUCGGAUCAGGUAGGAAUACCCGCUGAACUUAAGCAUAUCAAUAAGCGGAGG